This 495-nucleotide ribosomal RNA is filed under the name uncultured bacterium. RNAcentral describes it as "bacterial SSU rRNA". It matches the Rfam family "Bacterial small subunit ribosomal RNA", at positions 773 to 1262 of the family's 1533-position model. The record is from RNAcentral.
AGUGAAUAGAUACCCCGGUAGUCCACGCCCUAAACGAUGAACACUAGUCGUCGCUCUGCUAGUCAGGGCGGUGAUGCACUUAACAGGUUAAGUGUUCCGCCUGGGGAGUACGGUCGCAAGAUUAAAACUCAAAGGAAUAGACGGGGACCCGCACAAGUGGUGGAGCAUGUGGUUUAAUUCGAAGAUACGCGAAAAACCUUACCUGGCCUUGACAUUGAUAGAAUCCUGUAGAGAUACGGGGAGUGCCCUUCGGGGUAGCUUGAAAACAGGUGCUGCACGGCUGUCGUCAGCUCGUGUCGUGAGAUGUUGGGUUAAGUCCCGCAACGAGCGCAACCCUCGUCCUUAGUUGCCAGCAGGUUAAGCUGGGCACUCUAGGGAGACUGCCUUCGCAAGGAGGAGGAAGGUGAGGACGACGGUCAAGUCAUCAUGGCCCUUACGGCCAGGGUCUACACACGUGCUACAAUGGGGCGUACAGAGUGUUGCGAUACCGCGAGG